RNAcentral lists this ribosomal RNA (492 nucleotides) under uncultured bacterium. Its description in RNAcentral is "partial 16S ribosomal RNA". It matches the Rfam family "Bacterial small subunit ribosomal RNA", at positions 29 to 507 of the family's 1533-position model. The record is from RNAcentral.
AGUGGACGCUGGCGGUAGGCCUAACACAUGCAGGUCGAACGGCAGCACAGUAAGAGCUUGCUCUUACGGGUGGCGAGUGGCGGACGGGUGAGGAAUACAUCGGAAUCUACUUUUUCGUGGGGGAUAACGUAGGGAAACUUACGCUAAUACCGCAUACGACCUACGGGUGAAAGCAGGGGAUCUUCGGACCUUGCGCGAUUGAAUGAGCCGAUGUCGGAUUAGCUAGUUGGCGGGGUAAAGGCCCACCAAGGCGACGAUCCGUAGCUGGUCUGAGAGGAUGAUCAGCCACACUGGAACUGAGACACGGUCCAGACUCCUACGGGAGGCAGCAGUGGGGAAUAUUGGACAAUGGGCGCAAGCCUGAUCCAGCCAUACCGCGUGGGUGAAGAAGGCCUUCGGGUUGUAAAGCCCUUUUGUUGGGAAAGAAAAGCAGCAGGUUAAUACCCCGCUGUUCUGACGGUACCCAAAGAAUAAGCACCGGCUAACUUCGUG